RNAcentral lists this unclassified non-coding RNA (299 nucleotides) under uncultured Sebacina. Its description in RNAcentral is "sequence contains 5.8S rRNA gene". The record is from RNAcentral. Lineage: Eukaryota; Fungi; Basidiomycota; Agaricomycetes; Sebacinales; Sebacinaceae.
GAACGCACCUUGCACCCUCUGGUAUUCCGGAGGGUACACCCGUUUGAGUGUCAUUGUAAUCUCACACCCAGGAUUCGGUCCAAGGGUUGUGGACUCUGGAUGCUGUCGUGCGAACACGGCUCGUCUCAAAUGCAUGAGUGUACCCUUCCUGCGUGGUGUAUUCAGUGUGAUAAGCAUCCUCACUGGUACCCAGCCCCCCGGGGUUGAGCCACAGUGGUCAGGCCCUGCACCUCCAACUGUCUUUGGACAAAGCCUGACAUUUGACCUCAAAUCAGGUAGGACUACCCGCUGAACUUAAG